GAUGAACGCUGGCGGCGUGCCUAAUACAUGCAAGUCGAGCGAACGGACGAGAAGCUUGCUUCUCUGAUGUUAGCGGCGGACGGGUGAGUAACACGUGGAUAACCUACCUAUAAGACUGGGAUAACUUCGGGAAACCGGAGCUAAUACCGGAUGAUAUUUUGAACCGCAUGGUUCAAAAGUGAAAGACGGUCUUGCUGUCACUUAUAGAUGGAUCCGCGCUGCAUUAGCUAGUCGGUAAGGUAACGGCUUACCAAGGCAACGAUGCAUAGCCGACCUGAGAGGGUGAUCAGCCACACUGGAACUGAGACACGGUCCAGACUCCUACGGGAGGCAGCAGUAGGGAAUCUUCCGCAAUGGGCGAAAGCCUGACGGAGCAACGCCGCGUGAGUGAUGAAGGUCUUCGGAUCGUAAAACUCUGUUAUUAGGGAAGAACAUAUGUGUAAGUAACUGUGCACAUCUUGACGGUACCUAAUCAGAAAGCCACGGCUAACUACGUG
This 497-nucleotide ribosomal RNA is filed under the name uncultured bacterium. RNAcentral's name for it is "partial 16S ribosomal RNA". It matches the Rfam family "Bacterial small subunit ribosomal RNA", at positions 28 to 507 of the family's 1533-position model. The record is from RNAcentral.